UUGUCCUACGGGGGGCAGCAGUGGGGAAUAUUGCACAAUGGGGGGAACCCUGAUGCAGCGACGCCGCGUGAGUGAAGAAGUAUUUCGGUAUGUAAAGCUCUAUCAGCAGGGACGAAGAUGACGGUACCUGCAGAAGAAGCCCCGGCUAACUACGUGCCAGCAGCCGCGGUAAUACGUAGGGGGCAAGCGUUAUCUGGAUUUACUGGGUGUAAAGGGAGUGUAGGCGGGAAAGCAAGUCAGAAGUGAAAACUAUGGGCUUAACCCAUAGCCUGCUUUUGAAACUGUUUUUCUUGAGUGAAGUAGAG
Molecule: ribosomal RNA, 305 nt
Filed under: uncultured bacterium
Lineage: Bacteria
Description: bacterial SSU rRNA
Rfam family: Bacterial small subunit ribosomal RNA
Source: RNAcentral